GAAUUUGAGGUGUUGUUAAAGGGAUCAUUUUAGCAUUGGGUCCAGGUUGAACACAGACAAAAAAAUUCAAAGGAAAUUGAUAAAUUAAAGGAAAAUAGAAAAGUCAGAGGAGCCAGAAGGACUAAUUAUGUUAUAAAAAGGAAGGGGAGUUAGUAGGUAAUUUCUGAGAGACCUGGAAAUUAUAGUUGUGAUUAGACAAAAAGAACAUCAAAAAUUUUUUUCCAUCCUCCCCAAUCCCAUCCUCACCCCAGCAACCCGGGGA
RNAcentral lists this long non-coding RNA (262 nucleotides) under Bos taurus (domestic cattle). RNAcentral describes it as "long non-coding RNA NONBTAT026432". The record is from RNAcentral. Lineage: Eukaryota; Metazoa; Chordata; Mammalia; Artiodactyla; Bovidae.